Paramuricea clavata is the source of this 592-nucleotide non-coding RNA. The record is from the annotation of a GenBank genome assembly. Lineage: Eukaryota; Metazoa; Cnidaria; Anthozoa; Malacalcyonacea; Plexauridae.
UUGCCUAGUAUGGUCUGUGCUGAAAAGCAUUGUCUUGAUGCCUUUCCUGAAAGUUGUUUAUCAGAUAACUUUCAAUUUUCAGACUAUUUCGUUCUAAGGUCAAGAUUAAAUCGCAGCACUAAAAAAUAGUUAGUUUUUUUGCGAGAUUUUGCAAACUAUUUUACCAUACAUUGCUGCAAACAAUCUUAAAUACCUCAGAACAUAUUAUAUAGACAAUAUUUGUGCAAACCGCUCAAAUAUGUGUAUAUUAUUUCUUUUCUAUUUUGUUAUAUAGGUAUUUCAAUUAUAGGUAUAACUCUUAAUAAUUUUGAAUUUUCAGAAAGAGCGACAUUAUUGGUUCUAAUCUUUUCCUUUUUGUAUUUCAUUAUUUCUCCAGACAUAGAUGAGUGUAAAAACCCGUCUCUAUAUUCAUGCCCUGGUGGAUUUGAGUGUGCCAAUACUCUUGGCUUCUACAAAUGUGUUUGCAAUGGAAGCGUGGUAAAUGCGAAGAUGAAGGUAUAGCUCUGAUAUAUUUAUGUAUAAAUAUAUAUGCAUGAGUGAUUUCUAACAUAAAAACUUUCUACUAACGUUGCACAAACAGUAUAACCACACA